Molecule: ribosomal RNA, 117 nt
Filed under: uncultured bacterium
Lineage: Bacteria
Description: partial 16S ribosomal RNA
Rfam family: Bacterial small subunit ribosomal RNA
Source: RNAcentral
UACGGGAGGCAGCAGUGAGGAAUCUUCCACAAUGGGCGAAAGCCUGAUGGAGCAACGCCGCGUGCAGGAUGAAGGCCCUCGGGUCGUAAACUGCUUUAUGAGUGAAGAACAUGACGG